AUGGCCACAUCAUGUAGACACCUUGAUUCCCGUACAAUCACCAAAGUUAAGCAACAUUAAGCCUGGUCAUUACCUAGAUGGGUGACCGCUUGGGAAUACCAGGUGCUAUA
This is a non-coding RNA of Acanthosepion pharaonis, 110 nucleotides long. The record is from the annotation of a GenBank genome assembly. Lineage: Eukaryota; Metazoa; Mollusca; Cephalopoda; Sepiida; Sepiidae.